RNAcentral lists this long non-coding RNA (1344 nucleotides) under Sander lucioperca (pikeperch). RNAcentral describes it as "lncRNA (ENSSLUG00000006290.1)". Lineage: Eukaryota; Metazoa; Chordata; Actinopteri; Perciformes; Percidae. The record is from RNAcentral.
GGAAAAUGCUAAUUUAAUUAUUAAUUAUUUAAAUAUUGGCAGCCACAGACUUUCAUACAUUUGUUACAGUUGCUUUAGCCUUGUUCUUGGUAGCUAACAGUGUAUUUGCUUACUUGGGCUUGGCAGUCUGAUUACAGCUUACCAGGGGCUUAUUCAGAUGGGCAUAUCAAUGCAAGUAUUAACAGUGUGAGGUUAAAUUAAAAAAAUAUCACCCUGAACUGUAACCUUUUUAACCUUUUUUCACAAUACAUAUUCUAAACAUCAAGAACAGUUGAAUUGAACCCCUGUGUGUAAUAAGCCCCUAGUAGCUUACCCGAGUCUGGCUUGGUGUUUAGAGAGGAAGAUUCCGGUUGGUCGACGGCCCUUCAGUCAGGCAGGCAGGAGGAGGAGCAGCUUCUCGGGGGACGAAGAACAGAGUCCGCCCCCUUAUCCUGCCCAGGGGCCCUCUCGGCCCCGACCCCGAACCCACCUCCACCAAAUCCACAAAUCAGAGUCUCUCCUGCGAAUGAAGGAGGAGACGGCUGAGGUGGACGAGUUUACCUUCUCACAGGGCACCUCCGACCAGGAAAGCAACGGCUCCGGCAGCUACUACAUCAAACAGGAGCCCUGAGGUCGGGGCGGAGCAGGACAAAUCGGGGCAGGACACACCUCUGGGAAACCCCAGCAAGGUCCGGAACUUGGAGAGUCAAACUAGUCUGGAAUCUCACUCAGACCAAUGCCACAGGCCUUCUAUGGAGUCAGUACAGGAGAUGCCGAUGACAAGGAGAAGGGGGCACUUUCAUGCUUCUGAAAAAUCCUGAAGGGAACAUCCCUCUGAACCAUUUUCUAACCUCGUAGCUGUGUGUGCACAUAAUCACAAUUACACACUCACAAAACCUGGGUCACAUACGUUUGGGCAUUCUCUUUCCUACCACCUACGGAUGACGCAACAUCAUUGUCUCUCUCUCCUGUCUGGAACUUCCAAUCAGACGAGAUAUUCAGAUGGGUAAAAAAAAAUCAACCCUUUCUCUCACAGAAAUGGGAGUCCUGCAAGUCGACACCAGCCCACCCUGCCUCUGCCACAAUCUGGGCCGCGCACAGAGACCUGUAGAAACUGUGAGAACCAUUUAUUGAGCCAGGUCUAGCUUUUUUGUGUGUGUGUGUGUGUGUGUGUGUUGCUGUUUUCAGGUCAGAGAGUCAGCCACUGAACGAACGGCCUGAGGAGAAAAGAGAGGCUGGGAGUAAGAGGAACAGAGUUGUGUAUAUUUUGAUUAUUUUCUUCUGAACAAUAUUGCCAGGUGGACUUACUUUGUUAAUAGUACUUGAAGUCUUUCAUUUUGUAAUGAUUUUGGAGUUGUUUUGGUC